GCUAGGCACAGUGGCAGGUGCCUGUAGUCCCAGCUACUCAGGAGGCUGAGGUGGGAGGAUUGUUUGAGCCCAGGAGUUCUGGGCUGUAGUGCACUAUGGCGAUCAUCGGGUGCCACGCUAAGUUUGGCAUCAAUAUGGUGACUUCCCAGGAGCGAGGGACUACCAGGUUGCCUAAGGAGGGAUGAACCUGCCCAGGUCAGAAACAGAGCAGGCUAAAACUCUCAUGCUGAUCAGUAGUGGGAUCUCUACUGUGAAUAGCUACUGCACUCCAGCUGGGGCAACAUAGCGAGACCUCCACUGU
Molecule: signal recognition particle RNA, 301 nt
Filed under: Saimiri boliviensis boliviensis (Bolivian squirrel monkey)
Lineage: Eukaryota; Metazoa; Chordata; Mammalia; Primates; Cebidae
Description: Metazoan signal recognition particle RNA (ENSSBOG00000009290.1)
Rfam family: Metazoan signal recognition particle RNA
About the family: The signal recognition particle (SRP) is a universally conserved ribonucleoprotein. It is involved in the co-translational targeting of proteins to membranes.
Source: RNAcentral